AACGAACGCUGGCGGCAUGCCUAACACAUGCAAGUCGAACGAGACCUUCGGGUCUAGUGGCGCACGGGUGCGUAACGCGUGGGAACCUGCCCUUAGGUUCGGAAUAACUCCCCGAAAGGGGUGCUAAUACCGGAUAAUGUCUUCGGACCAAAGAUUUAUCGCCUUUGGAUGGGCCCGCGUUGGAUUAGCUAGUUGGUAGGGUAAAAGCCUACCAAGGCGACGAUCCAUAGCUGGUCUGAGAGGAUGAUCAGCCACACUGGGACUGAGACACGGCCCAGACUCCUCCGGGAGGCGGCAGUGGGGAAUAUUGGACAUUGGGCGAAAGCCUGAUCCACCAUUGCCGCGUGAGUGAUGAAGGCUUUAGGUUGGUAAAGCUCUUUUACCCGGGAUGAUAAGGCCAGUACCGGGGGAAUAAGCCCCGCCUAACUCCGG
This 432-nucleotide ribosomal RNA is filed under the name uncultured bacterium. RNAcentral's name for it is "partial 16S ribosomal RNA". It matches the Rfam family "Bacterial small subunit ribosomal RNA", at positions 29 to 506 of the family's 1533-position model. The record is from RNAcentral.